RNAcentral lists this non-coding RNA (234 nucleotides) under Proteiniborus sp. RNAcentral's name for it is "T-box sequence". It matches the Rfam family "T-box leader". Rfam says of the family: Uncharged tRNA acts as the effector for transcription antitermination of genes in the T-box leader family. T-boxes are found upstream of many aminoacyl-tRNA synthetase genes and some amino acid biosynthetic genes usually in Gram-positive bacteria. Lineage: Bacteria; Bacillati; Bacillota; Clostridia; Eubacteriales. The record is from RNAcentral.
UGUAAAGCAAUGAUAGGACGAGUAAAUUAGUAAACGGUCUAAAGAGAGGGGAAGCCGUGGCUGAAAGCGACCCUAGAUUAGUCUAAUUGAAAACUACCCUUGAGUUGUAUCUGAAACCAGUUUACUGGGUAAGGAUUUCCGUUGAUUACGUUACAAUCACUUGAGUGGAAUCUUUAAGCUUUUUAAAGAUUCUAAUUAGGGUGGUACCGUGGGAACAUAGCUCUCGCCCCUAGA